Corylus avellana is the source of this 103-nucleotide small nuclear RNA. The record is from RefSeq and is a predicted model, not a curated record. NCBI's taxonomy places the organism in Eukaryota, Viridiplantae, Streptophyta, Magnoliopsida, Fagales, Betulaceae.
UUGAGAUGUCCCACAUCUGAUAAAAUUGGAACGAUACACAGAAGAUUUGCAUGGUCCUUGCGCAAGGAUGACAUGCAUAAAUCGAGAAAUGGUCCAAAUUUUU